AAGGACAAGAACAUAAGAAUUAUAAAUGUGUGUCUAGAGAAUCCAUUUAUACUGGGUGAUGGAAGAAGACACCAAUGAAGAAGUAACCUUGAAAUGGAAACCUGAGGAUAAGCAGUUAGUCAUGAGGAGUGAGAAAAAGUGUUCCAGACAGAGGGAGAAGUGUGAGUGUAGUCCCUGAGGUGACAUUUGAUGUGAACAAUGACCCCAGGUCCCCUGUAAGGGCCUAAUCUGGCUCUCAAAUAGCCACAGUAGCUUUGGCAGACAAAUACAAAUUCCAGUCCAGGAAAGAAGGAGGCCACCUUCUGAGCAGGGUCUCAUAUAAGAAAGAUUUUUCAUUUCAUCUGGGGUGAGAUAUGCCUAUUAAUUGAUUUAUGGAGGUCUCAUAGCAAUAUACAUGGGCCAGGAAUGAGGCUUUAUAUUCAUGGUAAAAAUUUAAACAUUUGGGACUGCCAUUUGGGAAGAUCUGCAGUGUAAAGGCCAAAGUCAAGACUGGAAUGUUGGCUCCCUCAUGUCCUCUUACAGUUUGGUAUCCUUGCUGCUGUAGGUCAAAUGAUUUUCCAUCACUCUAGCCUUUGGGAACUAAGGUGCCAGAUUCUCUGAAGAGAGCAUUGUCCCAAUAAAGGAAAAUCAUGAAGGCACUGGAUAUUUUAACUGUGGAACAUAAGAGAGAACAGAGAUGGAGUUGUUGGUGCAGAUUUCCAAGGAUGAAGUUGUCUGAGUGCAGCCAAAGCUUUCAGUCAAGAAACAAGGUGCCCCCUACUGAUGAGGAAAAGAUGACAGCACAGAGGAACUAUAUGAUCAAUUCAUCUGGAGCUGGAAUAACCAUGGAUGAAAUAAUUUUCCUCAGAAUGAAAUAAUAAAAAAUAUCCUCAAGCAAAGUUCUCCAAUACCUGAGAACAUUAUUCUCUGAAAAAUAGAGGAUAUUCAAUAAAAGUUCAGAUGGAGGGCUAAGACCAAGAGGAGAGAUUUCUUCUCUAAUUGUUAGAGGACAUUAGUUCAGUGAUUCAGAGACUUGUGGAGAAAGUAAAAGUAUAAAUCUUUAUUUUAAACACCUUUAAAAAUCUGAAAAUAGUUUGGAAAAGUAUUUAUAACUUUUAAGAAAGCCAAGUUGGAAGCAUUCCAGUCUCAUAUGACUGCAGCUCAAAAUAUUCCUAGGUGCUGUCUAGCACCAUCAUAAAGUAUACUUAUGAGGCAAAUAAAGCAUAUAAUUUAAAUCUUAAACAGGAGAAACAAGGCAAGACUCUGUUCUCAUUCUUUGGAAAAGAGCAUUAUUAUUAUACCACAUCAGAAGAUGAGCCCUCUAUAGCACACUUCAUGUUCUCCUGCUGUGUCUUUUCUCCUUACAAUUCCUUCCUCUUCCUUUAUGUUUGAUCCCUUUCCUCUAGAAAUGAUAAGGGACAUAAAUGGUUCAAUAUUUGCGGAAGAAGAAGUGAGAAAGUAUUUCCUUCUCCCCCUUUGCACUAAGUUCUCAUCAAUUACUUUUGGCAAUUUGGUAGCCAGUUUUGAAAAUAACCAGCUGUAUGCUCACUUAGAUAAAUUAAUGCUUCUGUGCCUCACUUUCCUUA
This 1565-nucleotide long non-coding RNA is filed under the name Canis lupus familiaris (dog). Its description in RNAcentral is "lncRNA (ENSCAFG00000052962.1, ENSCAFG00845002053.1)". Lineage: Eukaryota; Metazoa; Chordata; Mammalia; Carnivora; Canidae. The record is from RNAcentral.